Long non-coding RNA from Peromyscus leucopus (white-footed mouse), 1607 nucleotides. RefSeq lists it as uncharacterized. The record is from RefSeq and is a predicted model, not a curated record. Lineage: Eukaryota; Metazoa; Chordata; Mammalia; Rodentia; Cricetidae. The transcript has 3 exons.
CCGAGUUGCCACCCCGGAAGCGGAAGUCGGGCCUUGGGGGGUCAUGGUUCUCCCGCGCUCCGGGUGGGCUCGUGGUGAGACGAGGGUGCGCAGAACGCUGUGCGCAGUUGGCUGCACUCUGAACCGGAACAGGAAGAGCUGCCGGCGGGCCACCUGCCCCGAGUCUCAUUAAGUAGCAUUGGUUGGUCUAGAACUCAAGAUCUUCCUGUCUCCACUUCCCAAGUAAUGGAAUCACAAGUGCAUACUACCACACCUGACUCUAUAUCUCGUCCCGUCAACUGGACACGGCAUUCUUGUUCCUCCAUGCUGUAAGGUUGGAGUCCUGUGGGGAUGUAAUUGAAAGAAGGAUGUGCCUACACCAGCUUCUAUCUCAGCAAGCAGCUGAAAUUCCAUCUCCUCCAAAGAAACCUUCUGGGAACCUCACUGGGAAAGGAGAGAUGCAUCUACAAUCCUAUUACUGAAACAACAGCCUAAUAGUCCAUGAACCCUUAACCCAAAGACCUUUGUCCUGUUGGGUGUUGACAGCUGCAGGGAAAACAAUUAGCUUUGGCCCUGUGCUGAACAAGCACUGGUUUAUUUGCUUUUCCCACGCCCUUUCAAGCCAAAGGUAGUAAAACUUCUUCAGUAAUAUGACCCCUGUGAGAACUCUGAAAGGAAUUAGUGACAUCACAGUGGAUUUUCAGAAGAAAGUAUGUGAAUUUUAUUAGUUCUUCAGCAAUUGCAUAUUGAUAAGUAAGUUGAUUUAAAAGCAACUUAGUCAUUUAAAAGAAACUGUAGUUUUGCUGCAAUUGAUGUAUAGAAGGGAAUAAAGAAGGUGAUGAGCCAGACGGUGAAACACCCCUGCCACCUAGUGGUUCUUUACUCUGGAACAUUUGGGCUCUUUGAAAGCACAGAAAACAAAACAAAAAGAAAGAAAUUAGCUUGUUCAGGAAACAAAUGCAGCAAAUGUCCUAAACUGGAAACUUCCAUUUCCUCCUCCAAUUGUCCAGUCAGAGCUGAGAGAAACUGGAAAUGGUGUGGGUAAACAUGGAUGGCCACUAGGGCUCUAGCACCAAGUGGCAACUGGUUGCAAAGGGAAUAAAAGAGCAGACACAGGGUCAACAGUGUGACAGGGUCCCUUGGGAGUAGUCACUGCAGCAGCACUGGGGUCCGAGGCAAAGCUGAUUCAGAGACAGCGUUCAAAGGGAUGAUAGGACGAUGAUGGUGAAGUCAUGAGGACUUAGGAUCAUUAGGCCACAGGAGCUCUGGACACUGUGGUCAUGAGACGGCAAUAAAGUGCUUGAUUGAAAGUGAAUAAUUAGGACACCUAUGUCCACAAUAGUAAAGGGAGAGUGGUCCUUAGAUGUGGCAGUAUAUUCAUUCCAUGUACUCCCAUAGAUUCCCACGUUCAAAGAUAUUGAAGUUCCUGUAUAAAAUGGCAGAAGUACUGACUGGUGCACCUCAGCUUGCAUACUUUAAGGCAUUCCUAGGUUGUCUAUUAUACCUAAUAAAGUGUAAAUGGUAUCUAAGUAGUCUGUACAUGUGUAGUACAGGUGCAAUUAAAAAUAUUUCCUGUGAUUGACUGAGUCAGUGAGUGCAGAACCCAUAAGAAAAGAGGGCCGGUUACA